Molecule: long non-coding RNA, 1402 nt
Organism: Anser brachyrhynchus (Pink-footed goose)
Lineage: Eukaryota; Metazoa; Chordata; Aves; Anseriformes; Anatidae
Source: Ensembl
CAGCAGGAUAGGAGCUGGAGUUGAGUCCCUCCAAAGUAAAUCCAAGAACAGGCAAAAAACCUCUGAGGAUCUCCUUGCUGCUCCAGUUGCUGGACACUUCCAAUGUGGAAGGACUGCAAAAUCCACUUUUGCACAUGCCAGUCCCAACCACCCUCAGCUUAUGCCCACAGCAGAACUUGGGCCCAUUUUGGGGUGGACUUCUGCUCUCUGGACCACGGCCCAUCCCCAGGCACCUGGGCAGGUCUGCAGCUGGAGAAGGGGCUCAGACACCACGCAGACACCGUGACGGGGUUUACCUCUGCCCCCAGGACUUGUUCCCUGGGCUCAGAUGGAGGCAUGCGGUCAGGAAGCAGAAGAAGAGUGAAUUAUAGCUGCUGCUGCUGCUGUUGCCACCGUAGAUAGGGUUGGAGGAAGCCUUGCUCACCCUGCCGUGUUUAGCAUCACCAAAGUACCUGGGGACAAACAGCAAACAACCCUCCCUGCUUUCCAGACAGAGGCUUAGAGUACCAACUCUGCUCCUCCCCUCUGGCUGCUGACACCCAAAGGUGCUGGCCAGCAUGGCUCCCUGCCCACCAGCUCCUUUGCAGGCUUUGUUAUUCCCAAGGGGCCAUCCCGAAGAACGACCUCCUGAGCCCGUUCAAACGAUGCUCAGUGCCCCAACCUGAUGCCUGUUGCGGAAACGAAUCCUAACCAGCAGCGAGGAUCAAACCAAUAUUCUCGGCAGCAGCUGUAAACUCGAUAAGCUGCCUGUCCUCCUUUCUCUCCCCCCGCCCCAUCCCUCCCUUUGGUGUUGAAAUGAAGGCAGAGACACGCUGAGAGAAGCAGUGCAGCGCUCUGUUUGCAGGAUAAUAUGCCGACCACAUGUAUGUAUUAAAGGCUGUAUGGAGUUAUAAUGAGCCAGGAGCAUUUAAAUGCAAGCCAAGGGGAAUUUGCUAUUCUGUGUGGGCAGAUUUCAAUUGUAAGGUUGGCAGCGCUGGUAUCCUGUUCUCUAAUGCCAUGGGAUGAGAAAAAAUAGGCUUUUCUUUCAGAGCAGUUGAUUAUUGAAUACGCACCAGCUGUUCACCCUAAUCCAAGCUUUCUGUGCUUGCUCCUUGUAAUAGAGGCAUCCCUCAUCCGUCCAUCCAUCUAUCCAUCCCCCCGUUCUCAUUUUCAUGGCUCUUUUGUAAUCUUUCAGAGAGGUGGUUAGCAGAUAUCAGCCAUCUAAAGCGACAUAAGCGUCAGUACCAGGCGAGGGUUAUAACUAAUUAACGAGAGAAGAAAGGCACCCCCAGCCAUAUAUUGAAACUCAAAUUAUAUUUCUCAUCCACUGCAAGACAUGAAAAAAAGCCAUCAUGAAUCAGAAGGCAGAGAACCAUUUUUUAGCAGUGACACCUGAUUCCGUGCCCAGCAAACCGUGUGGGAU